This 1175-nucleotide long non-coding RNA is filed under the name Gossypium barbadense (sea-island cotton). Its description in RNAcentral is "long non-coding RNA (GBAR_LNC017513)". Lineage: Eukaryota; Viridiplantae; Streptophyta; Magnoliopsida; Malvales; Malvaceae. The record is from RNAcentral.
AAACUGGCUAAUAUAUUAAUAAUCACGCGGCUCAGGCAAAGUUGAAAAGACAUAGUCAAAAAGACAGAUAAAUUAAAAGGCCCCAACUAAAAAGCCAACACACACCUAAAAAACAAUCAAAACCAAAACAAAAUAAGAAAAACCACCCUGAAUCAAAAACUGCAGCUAAUUUCAAAACCCAAUAUCAGCCAACGGACGUAUCGCUUCUCCUCCUGAAAAAGAUCUUGAGAUUAGGAAGAGAAGAGAACGAAGCUUUGAAUCCAUAACUGGAGGAGCGGUGAGUCUUCACCAUUUUCAAAGCUGAGUCAAGAAAAACCUUGGUAUUUAUGAUUCCAAGCCAAUCAAUCCAUCAUCGCCAUCGUCUUCACGGAAUCAGGAACUCCAUCUGACCAGACACCACAAGUCUGUUGCCUCCGGCCUUCCAGCGCGGAACGUUCCUAUUAAUUCUCCUGCCCAGUCUCUUGCUAAAACUGCUAUUGUAGCGAUUCGAAAUUCAUUUUGAAAAGAUGCAUCAAAAUUUAGUUUGAUGACUCCACAGUCAGGGGGUUGCCAAAACUCUUUUACCAUAGAUCUAAGAGAAGGGCGAAGACUCUCUUGAUUUAGGUUAAGAUCUUGAACAUAACCACGAAUAAAUCCCAACAGUUCCUGAAAAGAAAGUUUGACCCCUUCAUGAAUAAGUUUAUUUCUUCUAAACCAUAGGCUCCAUAAAGAGAUUGCCAUAACUUGUCUUUGUUGAUCAUCUGCAGUGGAAAAAGUAUGAAGAAAACGAUGCUUACAACACGACAGUUCAUCAAAUGACGGAAUCUUGAUCUGAAGCGAAGCCCACACAGACUGAAGAGUGCCACAAGACCACAUCAAAUGACUAGAAUCCUCGGGAUCUACUUUGCACAAAGGACAGACGACUUCUACAUUUAACAAUCGUCUCGCCAAAUUAUAAGAAUGAGGCAAUAGAUUAUUAAAAAGCCGUAUAGUUAGCAUCAUUAGGAAAUAUGAAAGUAUUUUUCUAUAACAGUUCUGUAGAUAGAACCCGAUACCCACUUUUCACUGUAUAUUCCCCAGAACCUUCAUGUUUCCAUACCAACAUGUCCUCCGAAUUAGCUCCAGAAAUAGGAAUGGAGAGCAUAAGCUCUGCUGUGCUUUCGUCAAAUAUUUUGUGGAUCAACUCAUUGUCCUAG